GUGGGUAUAGCUCAGUGGUAGAGUGCAUGCUUAGCAUGCAUGAAGUUGCACAAGGUCCUGGGUUCAAUCCCCAGUACCUAUA
This 82-nucleotide transfer RNA is filed under the name Camelus bactrianus (Bactrian camel). It matches the Rfam family "tRNA". From Rfam's summary of the family: Transfer RNA (tRNA) molecules are approximately 80 nucleotides in length. Their secondary structure includes four short double-helical elements and three loops (D, anti-codon, and T loops). Further hydrogen bonds mediate the characteristic L-shaped molecular structure. tRNAs have two regions of fundamental functional importance: the anti-codon, which is responsible for specific mRNA codon recognition, and the 3' end, to which the tRNAs corresponding amino acid is attached (by aminoacyl-tRNA synthetases). tRNAs cope with the degeneracy of the genetic code in two manners: having more than one tRNA (with a specific anti-codon) for a particular amino acid; and 'wobble' base-pairing, i.e. permitting non-standard base-pairing at the 3rd anti-codon position. The record is from Rfam by way of RNAcentral. RNAcentral also lists the same sequence under 2 other names. Lineage: Eukaryota; Metazoa; Chordata; Mammalia; Artiodactyla; Camelidae.